Long non-coding RNA from Scatophagus argus, 156 nucleotides. RefSeq lists it as uncharacterized. The record is from RefSeq and is a predicted model, not a curated record. Lineage: Eukaryota; Metazoa; Chordata; Actinopteri; Scatophagidae. The transcript is spliced from 2 exons.
GUUCCACCAGUCAGUGAAGGUGUCAAGGUUUUUGACGAAACAGGCACUGAGUUGGAUGCGGAGGUCUUCUCUGACAUAGCGCAGCAGCCCAGUACUGGCAUACUAACCAUCAAGUUUGAUGACGAUUUCAAGGAAACUUUAUCCAGCAGUUCCCAA